CGGAAAGAGAGGGAGUCGAACCCUCGGUAGCCCAACGACUACGCCGGUUUUCAAAACCGGUGCAUUAAACCACUCUGCCACCUUUCC
This 87-nucleotide transfer RNA is filed under the name uncultured Choricystis. Its description in RNAcentral is "tRNA-Ser". The record is from RNAcentral. Lineage: Eukaryota; Viridiplantae; Chlorophyta; Trebouxiophyceae.